This 524-nucleotide ribosomal RNA is filed under the name uncultured bacterium. RNAcentral's name for it is "partial 16S ribosomal RNA". It matches the Rfam family "Bacterial small subunit ribosomal RNA", at positions 28 to 523 of the family's 1533-position model. The record is from RNAcentral.
GACGAACGCUGGCGGCGUGCCUAAUACAUGCAAGUCGAGCGCAGGAAAUCAUCUGAACCCUUCGGGGGGACGUUGAUGGAAUGAGCGGCGGACGGGUGAGUAACACGUAAAGAACCUGCCCUCAGGUCUGGGAUAACCACGAGAAAUCGGGGCUAAUACCGGAUGGGUCAUCGGACCGCAUGGUCCGAGGAUGAAAGGCGCUUCGGCGUCGCCUGGGGAUGGCUUUGCGGUGCAUUAGCUAGUUGGUGGGGUAAUGGCCCACCAAGGCGACGAGGCAUAGCCGACCUGAGAGGGUGAUCGGCCACCCUGGGACUGGGACACGGCCCAGACUCCUACGGGAGGCAGCAGUAGGGAAUCUUCCACAAUGGACGAAAGUCUGAUGGAGCAACGCCGCGUGAACGAUGAAGGCCUUCGGGUCGUAAAGUUCUGUUGUAAGGGAAGAACAAGUGCCGCAGGCAAUGGCGGCACCUUGACGGUACCUUGCGAGAAAGCCACGGCUAACUACGUGCCAGCCGCCGCGGUAA